AAGGAUCAUUACCUAGAGUUGUAGGCUUUGCCCUACCCAUCUCUUACCCAUGUCUUUUGAGUACCUUCGUUUCCUCGGCGGGUCCCGCCCCGCCGAUUGGACAAACUUAAACCCUUUGUAAUUGAAAUCAGCGUCUGAAAAAACAUAAUAGUUACAACUUUCAACAACGGAUCUCUUGGUUCUGGCAUCGAUGAAGAACGCAGCGAAAUGCGAUAAGUAGUGUGAAUUGCAGAAUUCAGUGAAUCAUCGAAUCUUUGAACGCACAUUGCGCCCCUUGGUAUUCCAUGGGGCAUGCCUGUUCGAGCGUCAUUUGUACCUUCAAGCUCUGCUUGGUGUUGGGUGUUUGUCUCGCCUUUGCGUGUAGACUCGCCUUAAAACAAUUGGCAGCCGGCGUAUUGAUUUCGGAGCGCAGUACAUCUCGCGCUUUGCACUCAUAACGACGACGUCCAAAAAGUACUUUUUACACUCUUGACCUCGGAUCAGGUAGGGAUACCCGCUGAACUUAA
This 506-nucleotide ribosomal RNA is filed under the name Phoma sp. CAO7b. RNAcentral's name for it is "eukaryotic LSU rRNA". The stretch from base 156 to 309 matches the Rfam family "5.8S ribosomal RNA". Lineage: Eukaryota; Fungi; Ascomycota; Dothideomycetes; Pleosporales; Didymellaceae. The record is from RNAcentral.